RNAcentral lists this ribosomal RNA (696 nucleotides) under Citrobacter freundii. Its description in RNAcentral is "partial 23S ribosomal RNA". It matches the Rfam family "Bacterial large subunit ribosomal RNA", at positions 127 to 867 of the family's 2925-position model. Lineage: Bacteria; Pseudomonadati; Pseudomonadota; Gammaproteobacteria; Enterobacterales; Enterobacteriaceae. The record is from RNAcentral.
CCCAGUGUGAUCCGUCACACUAUCAUUACGUGAAUACAUAGCGUAAUGAAGCGAACCGGGGGAACUGAAACAUCUAAGUACCCCGAGGAAAAGAAAUCAACCGAGAUUCCCCCAGUAGCGGCGAGCGAACGGGGAGCAGCCCAGAGUCUGAAUCAGCUUGUGUGUUAGUGGAACGGUCUGGAAAGUCCGACGGUACAGGGUGAUAGUCCCGUACACCAAAAUGCACAGGUUGUGAACUCGAAGAGUAGGGCGGGACACGUGGUAUCCUGUCUGAAUAUGGGGGGACCAUCCUCCAAGGCUAAAUACUCCUGACUGACCGAUAGUGAACCAGUACCGUGAGGGAAAGGCGAAAAGAACCCCGGCGAGGGGAGUGAAAAAGAACCUGAAACCGUGUACGUACAAGCAGUGGGAGCCUCUUUAUGGGGUGACUGCGUACCUUUUGUAUAAUGGGUCAGCGACUUAUAUUCUGUAGCAAGGUUAACCGUAUAGGGGAGCCGAAGGGAAACCGAGUCUUAACUGGGCGUUAAGUUGCAGGGUAUAGACCCGAAACCCGGUGAUCUAGCCAUGGGCAGGUUGAAGGUUGGGUAACACUAACUGGAGGACCGAACCGACUAAUGUUGAAAAAUUAGCGGAUGACUUGUGGCUGGGGGUGAAAGGCCAAUCAAACCGGGAGAUAGCUGGUUCUCCCCGAAAGCU